Molecule: ribosomal RNA, 115 nt
Filed under: Nannospalax galili (Upper Galilee mountains blind mole rat)
Lineage: Eukaryota; Metazoa; Chordata; Mammalia; Rodentia; Spalacidae
Source: RNAcentral
AUGCAGCCAUACCACCGUGAACGUGCAUGAUCACCUCUGAUCUUGAAAGCUUAGCAGAAUUGGGCCUGGUUAGUACUUGGAUGGGAGUCAGUUUUCUUUACAGGUGUAAUGCCUU